RNAcentral lists this long non-coding RNA (295 nucleotides) under Mytilus galloprovincialis (Mediterranean mussel). The record is from RNAcentral. Lineage: Eukaryota; Metazoa; Mollusca; Bivalvia; Mytilida; Mytilidae.
GUAUUAAAUAAUAGCGUAUUUCUUGAUUUUUCUAGUUUGGUUUUCUUUUCCGUUGUUGAUUCCGGCCUCCUACCGUGAGCCUCCCCCUAGAUUGCACCAAAAGGCAUUACAAUUGUCGGGUACAACAUACCAUAACAUCAUACAAAAUAUAUCAACAGUAGUAUAGUACUUGAACGAGUCCAGCGCACCCCCUAAAAAAAAUUUGACCCCUAAAAAAAUACCCACAUUUCAAGUAAAAAAGCCCUAAAUUUUCAUAAAAAAAGCAAAAACACCCAAAAAACAUCAACAUUCUUUU